AACGAACGCUGGCGGCAGGCUUAACACAUGCAAGUCGAGCGCCCCGCAAGGGGAGCGGCAGACGGGUGAGUAACGCGUGGGAACGUACCCUUUUCUACGGAAUAACGCAUGGAAACGUGUGCUAAUACCGUAUGUGCCCUUCGGGGGAAAGAUUUAUCGGAAAAGGAUCGGCCCGCGUUGGAUUAGCUAGUUGGUGGGGUAAAGGCCUACCAAGGCGACGAUCCAUAGCUGGUCUGAGAGGAUGAUCAGCCACACUGGGACUGAGACACGGCCCAGACUCCUACGGGAGGCAGCAGUGGGGAAUAUUGGACAAUGGGCGCAAGCCUGAUCCAGCCAUGCCGCGUGAGUGAUGAAGGCCUUAGGGUUGUAAAGCUCUUUUAUCCGGGACGAUAAUGACGGUACCGGAAGAAUAAGCCCCGGCUAACUUCGUGCCAGCAGCCGCGGUAAC
RNAcentral lists this ribosomal RNA (448 nucleotides) under uncultured bacterium. RNAcentral describes it as "bacterial SSU rRNA". It matches the Rfam family "Bacterial small subunit ribosomal RNA", at positions 29 to 524 of the family's 1533-position model. The record is from RNAcentral.